Molecule: ribosomal RNA, 427 nt
Filed under: uncultured Listeria sp.
Lineage: Bacteria; Bacillati; Bacillota; Bacilli; Caryophanales; Listeriaceae
Description: bacterial SSU rRNA
Rfam family: Bacterial small subunit ribosomal RNA
Source: RNAcentral
AGUAGGGAAUCUUCCGCAAUGGACGAAAGUCUGACGGAGCAACGCCGCGUGUAUGAAGAAGGUUUUCGGAUCGUAAAGUACUGUUGUUAGAGAAGAACAAGGAUAAGAGUAACUGCUUGUCCCUUGACGGUAUCUAACCAGAAAGCCACGGCUAACUACGUGCCAGCAGCCGCGGUAAUACGUAGGUGGCAAGCGUUGUCCGGAUUUAUUGGGCGUAAAGCGCGCGCAGGCGGUCUUUUAAGUCUGAUGUGAAAGCCCCCGGCUUAACCGGGGAGGGUCAUUGGAAACUGGAAGACUGGAGUGCAGAAGAGGAGAGUGGAAUUCCACGUGUAGCGGUGAAAUGCGUAGAUAUGUGGAGGAACACCAGUGGCGAAGGCGACUCUCUGGUCUGUAACUGACGCUGAGGCGCGAAAGCGUGGGGAGCAAA